AGUGGAUUAGUGGCGGACGGGUGAGUAACGCGUGAGUAACCUGCCUUAGAGAAGGGGAUAGCCUUUGGAAACGAAGAAUAAUACCCUAUGACAUGAUAGCCUCGCAUGAGAUUAUCAUCAAAGAUUUAUCGCUCUAAGAUGGACUUGCGUCUGAUUAGUUAGUUGGUGGGGUAACGGCCCACCAAGACAGCGAUCACGUAGCCGGCUUGAGAGAGUGUACGGCCACAUUGGGACUGAGACACGGCCCAGACUCCUACGGGAGGCAGCAGUGGGGAAUUUUGCACAAUGGGGGAAACCCUGAUGCAGCGACGCCGCGUGAUUUAGAAGGCCUUCGGGUUGUAAAAAUCUUUUCUAUGGGAAGAACAUGACAGUACCAUAGGAAUAAGGACCGGCUAAUUACGUGCCAGCAGCCGCGGUAAUACGUAAGGUCCGAGCGUUGUCCGGAAUCAUUGGGCGUAAAGGGUACGUAGGCGGGUAAGCAAGUUAGAAGUGAAAUCCUAUAGCUCAACUAUAGUAAGCUUUUAAAACUGCUCAUCUUGAGGUAUGGAAGGGAAAGUGGAAUUCCUAGUGUAGCGGUGAAAUGCGCAGAUAUUAGGAGGAAUACCGGUGGCGAAGGCGACUUUCUGGCCAUAACCUGACGCUGAGGUACGAAAGCGUGGGUAGCAAACAGGAUUAGAUACCCUGGUAGUCCACGCCGUAAACGAUGAGUGUUAGGUGUCUGGAGUAAAUCUGGGUGCCGCAGCUAACGCAUUAAACACUCCGCCUGGGGAGUACGUGCGCAAGCAUG
This 787-nucleotide ribosomal RNA is filed under the name uncultured Clostridia bacterium. RNAcentral's name for it is "bacterial SSU rRNA". It matches the Rfam family "Bacterial small subunit ribosomal RNA", at positions 86 to 896 of the family's 1533-position model. The record is from RNAcentral. Lineage: Bacteria; Bacillati; Bacillota; Clostridia.